GAGGUUGUGCCCUUGAGGCGUGGCUUCCGGAGCUAACGCGUUAAGUAGACCGCCUGGGGAGUACGGCCGCAAGGUUAAAACUCAAAUGAAUUGACGGGGGCCCGCACAAGCGGUGGAGCAUGUGGUUUAAUUCGAUGCAACGCGAAGAACCUUACCUGGUCUUGACAUCCACAGAAGAAUCCAGAGAUGGAUUUGUGCCUUCGGGAACUGUGAGACAGGUGCUGCAUGGCUGUCGUCAGCUCGUGUUGUGAAAUGUUGGGUUAAGUCCCGCAACGAGCGCAACCCUUAUCCUUUGUUGCCAGCGGUUAGGCCGGGAACUCAAAGGAGACUGCCAGUGAUAAACUGGAGGAAGGUGGGGAUGACGUCAAGUCAUCAUGGCCCUUACGACCAGGGCUACACACGUGCUACAAUGGCGCAUACAAAGAGAAGCGACCUCGCGAGAGCAAGCGGACCUCAUAAAGUGCGUCGUAGUCCGGAUUGGAGUCUGCAACUCGACUCCAUGAAGUCGGAAUCGCUAGUAAUCGUGGAUCAGAAUGCCACGGUGAAUACGUUCCCGGGCCUUGUACACACCGCCCGUCACACCAUGGGAGUGGGUUGCAAAAGAAGUAGGUAGCUUAACCUUCGGGAGGGCGCUUACCACUUUGUGAUUCAUGACUGGGGUGAAGUCGUAACAAGGUAACCGUAGGGGAACCUGCGGUUGGAUCACCUCCUUACCUGAAAGAA
Molecule: ribosomal RNA, 723 nt
Filed under: Salmonella enterica subsp. enterica serovar Newport
Lineage: Bacteria; Pseudomonadati; Pseudomonadota; Gammaproteobacteria; Enterobacterales; Enterobacteriaceae
Description: bacterial SSU rRNA
Rfam family: Bacterial small subunit ribosomal RNA
Source: RNAcentral